RNAcentral lists this long non-coding RNA (1783 nucleotides) under Malus domestica (apple). RNAcentral describes it as "long non-coding RNA (MDOM_LNC017589)". The record is from RNAcentral. Lineage: Eukaryota; Viridiplantae; Streptophyta; Magnoliopsida; Rosales; Rosaceae.
UGUUUUAAGAAAAACAAAUCAAUAUCAAAAACGAAUUUUUCAAAUAUUGGAAGUAACUACUACUAUGACGGUUUUUGCAUUCCUUUGAAUUUGGACUUUAUAGUUAUCUUAGGCUCUUGGAUGACCAUGGACUUAUUUGGUUAUUGCAACAACGAGCCAACAUUGUUGAAUAAGAACUUGGGGAGGUUGUGUCAAUUUAAUUACGAGCUUUUCAAUCCAAUUAAAACAUUUUCAUUGAGCCAUUAGAAAUGAAAGACGAUCAUUCAUUGCUAAUUAGGGCGUUGGACCCAUUUAAUCUUUAAUCUCAUGUCAAAACCCUCUUUUAAUCAUGUCACCUUACCAAUAGUUAAAGAAACUCUAGUCUAGUACUAGAGGGAAUCAACUAAUGGAAAGAGAUUUAAGAAGUAAUAAGAAUUACAAACCGAUUUGUACAAAUUCCUACAAAUUACAUAUACUAAGAGGGAGAGAUAGAUUAAUUUCCAACGUGACAAGGUCCAAUUGAAACAGUAAUUAAAACACAUUCCCAAGGUUCAAACAAUUUGAGUUUAGCGCCUUAUCUCAUAGCUCAAUUAUCGUUUAAGGCAUAAGUCCAUAGUCACCCAUUUUUCUAACUACUUAAUCACAUUAAAUAAUCAUAUGGAAUGCAACAUAAACAUUUAGAUUUAGUGCAUAUGGGCAUAACAUUAUUAUGAGUUUAAACAACUAACAAAAUUAAAAUCAAAUAUUUUAACUUUCUAGUUAGAUGGGGCCUAUUAUGCAAAUAUGAAAAGUUAGGAGUCAAACCGUAAAUACUUGAAAGUAAAUAUCAACUUUUCAAAAAUUACAAAAUAGCCCCACAAGUGGGUAAUCCACUAGGGUGGCCGGCCACAUUAAGGCGAGAUGGGAAGUCUCACCCAUCUUGCAUUGAACCAACAUAAAGUAGAAAAAAUUAAAUUUUGCUUGUCACUUGGUUUUGCUUUAAAGACUUUAGAGAAAAGGGUGAUGGAAAUUCUCCUAGUCAAGUCUAGGAUUUAAUAAAUUUUGUGAUGGUUAUGGAUGGUAUGUACAUCAUCCAAAACCACAAAACAAUGCAUAAAAUCCAAAUAAAACCAUUUUCACCAAAACCCAAACCAUGAACACCAAGAACAAAACCAUGAACACAUUUUCAAGAUUUGUAUAUUCUUGGUGAUUUUUCAAACCCAAAACAAAAGUGACAAGAACUCUACUUUCUAGCUUUAAAGUGUGUGUGUGUGUGAUUCAAAAUAAAAACACAAACACAUAGCCAAAAUCCCCCUUUUGCCGUGCCCUCCCUAUGACUCAAAACCCCAAAAUUUGUUCUAAACUCAUUUUUCAUUCAUGCAUCCAAAAGACUUUUUGCAUACAUAUCUUUCUCAACUAUUGAUUUACAUUUUUCAACAAUUGAAAAACAAAAGAUAAACAUACUUUGAAUGAAGCAAUAAUAUGUCAUACAUAAAAUUAAAAACCCAUAUGCAUAAAAUCCAAAAGGACACAUCAUACAUAAACCUUUGGCUCUGAUACCACUUGAAGGGAAAUUAUGAGAUUUCAUGUGGGAUUUCUAGUGACUAGCAUGCAUAUACAAUUCAAAAUUUAUAUACGAAAGCAACCGAAGCAUGUUAUCAAAUAAUAUCAUAGCUCUAGUUAUGUAAAUCCCCUUCAAGAUGCAUAGGUUUAUGUAAGAUGCAUCAAAAACAAAUUUAUAUUAGAACAAAGUUUAGGAGUAGUUUUAUACGUCUUGAUCUAGAUCUUAGACCAAGGAUGGACCACCUCCAAGCCCUUUGCUCCU